UAGGGAAUCUUCGGCAAUGGACGAAAAGUCUGACCGAGCAACGCCGCGUGAGUGAAGAAGGUUUUCGGAUCGUAAAACUCUGUUGGUAGAGAAGAACGUUGGUGAGAGUGGAAAGCUCAUCAAGUGACGGUAACUACCCAGAAAGGGACGGCUAACUACGUGCCGG
Molecule: ribosomal RNA, 166 nt
Filed under: uncultured bacterium
Lineage: Bacteria
Description: partial 16S rRNA
Rfam family: Bacterial small subunit ribosomal RNA
Source: RNAcentral